GUUAAACCUCAUGUAAUGUUUGGUUUGCUAAUAUUUAUAACUUGGGGGAUAAGUUGCUCACAAAGUUUCAUAUUUAGACGAAGGCUAGUUAAACUCCUUCUGAUGGCCGGUGGCGAGGUUCCCUUCGCGCUUAGAGUGCGGCGGCGACCACAAAGUCCUUCACAGGUCUCCUAGGAUGCGAUUCUUCAAAUCUGAUGAUCUGAUCCUUCGCAUAACUGAUGUUCAAAGCGAACGGGAAGGGAAGUUAUUGCUUGCAGUGGCAACGCCAUGAGGUGUGGCGUAGAGAACAACCUCUGGUUACCAGCGAGAAGAGGGAUGGAAUAAAAGACAAACAAAAAAAGAAAGAAGAAAAUCUAACGGCUAAGAAAUCCUUUCCCACUAUGCGUAAGAAGCUUAGCCUUCGUCUUUUAUGCAACCCAAAUUGUGCGAAGAGGGCACAUGCCUCAGCAGUCGGUACAAUGCAAAGCCUAGAAAGGGCCCUCUCGUAUCCUAUAUUAUAAUUAAUAUUUUGUUAACUAGCCAUUUGCUGGCCCCAAAAAUCAUGCAAGUCUUAUUCAGAACGCACAAGCUAGCUUUAGUUUUGAAAUACAGGAUGCAACUUAAAGUAAAUUGGGUUUACAAUAUCUUGAUGUGGUUUUUUUUAUUUA
Molecule: long non-coding RNA, 647 nt
Organism: Glycine soja
Lineage: Eukaryota; Viridiplantae; Streptophyta; Magnoliopsida; Fabales; Fabaceae
Exons: 2
Source: RefSeq, a predicted model, not a curated record